UGGGGAAUCUUGCACAAUGGGGGCAACCCUGAUGCAGCGACGCCGCGUGAGCGAUGAAGCCCUUCGGGGCGUAAAGCUCUUUCGACCGGAACGAUAAUGACGGUACCGGGAGAAGAAGCUGCGGCUAACUACGUGCCAGCAGCCGCGGUAAUACGUAGGCAGCAAGCGUUGUUCGGAGUUACUGGGCGUAAAGAGUGCGUAGGCGGUUUUCUAAGUUCGGUGUGAAAUCUCCCGGCUUAACUGGGAGGGUGCGCCGAAGACUGGGAAGCUGGAGUGUGGGAAAGGCAGGCGGAAUUCCUGGUGUAGCGGUGAAAUGCGUAGAUAUCAGGAGGAACACCGGCGGUGUAGACGGCUUGCUAAACCAUAACUGACGCUGAGGCACGGAAGCGUGGGUAGCAAACA
This 402-nucleotide ribosomal RNA is filed under the name uncultured bacterium. RNAcentral's name for it is "bacterial SSU rRNA". It matches the Rfam family "Bacterial small subunit ribosomal RNA", at positions 355 to 774 of the family's 1533-position model. The record is from RNAcentral.